RNAcentral lists this long non-coding RNA (2712 nucleotides) under Zea mays. Its description in RNAcentral is "long non-coding RNA (ZMAY_LNC000870)". The record is from RNAcentral. Lineage: Eukaryota; Viridiplantae; Streptophyta; Magnoliopsida; Poales; Poaceae.
AGUGUAUAGAGAUAAAUGUCACAAUAAUCAGAGUAUUUAUUACAUAGCGGAAGUCUUACAAAAUAAAUUAUAAAUAUAAAAGGAUCUAAAAUCCAUCCUUAGCACCAGAAAGUCAACUGGGAGACGCCACCUAGAUCGAAUCGAACUCCUCGUUGUCUGGCUCCUCUUGAACCACCUGUUCUUCUCCUGUGGGGGGUGUGAGACAACAAGGGUGAGCUCACACAUGUUCAUCGCUCAACAAGUUGUGGGGAAUAAUGUGGCAUGAACUCACCAAAGGUGGGAGUUCAUGUAAUGUGUAAGGCUGAUCAACAAUAGGGGUUAAAGUUGAGCAUUGCUUUUAAUAAGUUGGUCAAAUUCUAUUAGCAAUUACUAAGUAAAAGUAAAUACCAAACCAUAAUAAAUAAUAGAACAAAAUUAAUAACAAAAUCCCAUGCAAUGCAAAUGACAAAUUGAGUUUAAGUUCCAUAAAUUAAUCAUGCGAGAGUCCUGAGCUGCUCAUGACCGUGAGGUCGGCUAGUAUACUAGUUUUACACUCUGCAGAGGUUGUACCCUAUACCCAUAAGUCGUGUAUUCCAUGUCGCCAGGGUUUGCAAGGCCCUUAGACACUACCGAGGUGAAUGGCUGGGGAUCCACUACGAGGCCUUUAGAAAGUUCCACUAGCUUCCGAAAACCCGCUACAGUUAUGGUAAGAGCACUUGCAAGAAUCCCCCGUCUGACCGCCAUUGCAGCAAAAUUAACCCGAGAACCUCCUUGCAUGCAACUCCCCUACUGCCCUUGCCCCUUUCGGGUAAGGUAGUCUUCCACUAGCUUUCCUAAUUAGUUAGCCAAGGGCAUCCCAUUCCACCCUUGUGGUGGCACGUGUUUCUCAAGUUAAGCUCCAUGUUCCAAUUAACAUUAAAGAUCUUGACAUGAACAUAAAUAGAAUAACAAAAUAAUUGGAACAUGGAUAUAAUGAAAUACUAACCCAAAACCGUAUAAAGCAAUAGCAAAACUAUCCAAGUGAUUCAGGGGGUAACAAGGUAAAAGAUAAUCAGACUAGGGUGACCUAUUGGUUCCCAUCAAAAUUAAACAUAUGCAUUGAAUAGUGAUAAUAAAGAAUAUUAUUGGGAAACAAAAGUGGAUCAAGGGCACAACUUGCCUAGCACUUGAGAUUCCAGUUACCAGGGUGAUUCUUCAGAUCCACGUGAUCUCACCGCUAGUCGUAGCAAUACAAACAGACAUGGUAUAGAUAAAAUUAACAUCACACCAAACAUAAGUACAAACUGAAUAAUAAUGAUCUACACGAAGCUACGAGAUCGCGGGGUCGAGAACUAUUAAAAUCUGAGUUACGGUUAAGGAGUUAUGAUUUUAUAAAAUAUCUGUGUGAUUAAAAUAUUAAACUAUAUUAUAACUUGGUUAAUAUAAAUUAUAUGAGAGGUUAUUCUCUAAAUAACGUCAUUAUUUGAUUAAAGAUCAUCUAGUCAAGUUAUAAUCCUAAGAUCAGAAUAUUAUAUUAAUAUUAAAGAUGUUAAUCCAAUAGACAUAGAUUAAUCCAAUUAGUUACCUAAUUAUAAAAGUAGGGUAUAUCAUAUAACAAAUGUUGCUACUAGGUAGUAAAUAUUUAUACGAAGCUAACGCAACUAGAACGAGUCAAUUUGGAAUUAAAACGAAAGAGUUAUGAAUUUGUGAAGGUCUUAUGUAUUUGAUACAAGAUUAAUUAAGGUAUAAAUUUUAAUGUGACUUUCAUGUCAAAACAGAGAUACUAAAUGAUAAACAACAAUUUUAUAAAAUUAUAGAAAUUGGAAUGGAUUAAUUUGGAGCUAAAAUGAAUUUAAUAUGAAUUAUAUAAGUUCUUUGGAAUUAUUUUGGUAUUAAAAUUCAAUUUCUUUAACUAUUUAUCUAAAUAAUCAAUUCUCUGGAUUGGGCGCACUAUUAUUAGAAAGUGUAGGGGUCUCAGUAUAAGUCUUCCCAAGACCCUGAACGACUGGCGCCAGGACCGUGAGUUGAAUACCUAAAAGCAUAGGGUCUCUUUAGUGAAAUGGCAUGGCGAAGAGAUAUGAUGGAUUCUGAGUCAUCCGAUCCAGACCCAAGGGCCCAGAUUAGACCUAGGCUAUUACGAAUCGGUGCAUAACGGGGCCACACGAUUCAAAUCUACGGUCAGGAUUUAAUGACUCGCAGAUCUAAUCUCCGCCACUUAUUGCUCAUCCUACGUUCCAGAUGAGAUCCCUAUGAAUCGAUAUGCAAGAAUUCAUCCCGGUCGUCAGUCACAGGAUCAAUGGACCUACUAGUGUCUUCUUCCUCGCGACUCCUAGGCACCGACGUCUGCGCGCCAUGACGGUGGACCUGCCCUGCACUGCCGCCGUAUAAGCUAAAACAUCAGAGGGGUGGUAACGGCGAGAAAAUAAUGGAGGCAUACCGUGGCUCGGCCUAGGGACGAGCAGCGCCGCACUACGGCAGCCCCACUCGGUCUUCUUCACGCGGUGAUAAUGCGGUGCCCUCCCAACACCGUAAGCACAGGGAACACCCCCGGCGUCCAGCGCGAACUUGCCGAUCUCCCUAGCCCGAUGCCGAGGUCCGGUGACGCGCGUCACGGACAAGCUCCAUCGUCAUCUCUGACCGACAGCGAAACUCUCUCUCUCUCUCUCGGUUCUCUCUUUCUUGGAUGCUUGGUGGGGGCUCUUGGCUUCGCCCGAGGUGACCGACGGGCACCGAGUGGAUGGGGUGGCCGCGGUG